GCUGGGCAUGGUGGUGUAUGCCUGAAAUCCCAGUGGUUUGGGAGGCUGAGGCAAGAGGAUCACAAGUUCAAAGCCAGUCCCAGAAAAAGUGAGGCCCUAAACAACUCAUUGAGACCCUGUCUCUA
Molecule: small RNA, 125 nt
Filed under: Marmota monax (woodchuck)
Lineage: Eukaryota; Metazoa; Chordata; Mammalia; Rodentia; Sciuridae
Source: RNAcentral